GGUGGCCUAAUGGUUCGAGUGUCCGCCUCAGAUGCGAGAGGUCGCGGGUUCGAACCCCGGCAGAAUCA
Non-coding RNA from Potamilus streckersoni, 68 nucleotides. The record is from the annotation of a GenBank genome assembly. NCBI's taxonomy places the organism in Eukaryota, Metazoa, Mollusca, Bivalvia, Unionida, Unionidae.